UAAAAAAUGUGCACUGUCUUGCUUGUCUGA
This 30-nucleotide non-coding RNA is filed under the name Mus musculus (house mouse). The record is from RNAcentral. Lineage: Eukaryota; Metazoa; Chordata; Mammalia; Rodentia; Muridae.